CGCGAAGAACCUUACCAGGUCUUGACAUCCUUUGACCAUCCUAGAGAUAGGACUUUCCUUUCGGGGACAAAGUGACAGGUGGUGCAUGGUUGUCGUCAGCUCGUGUCGUGAGAUGUUGGGUUAAGUCCCGCAACGAGCGCAACCCUUAUUGUUAGUUGCCAUCAUUCAGUUGGGCACUCUAGCGAGACUGCCGCAGACAAUGCGGAGGAAGGUGGGGAUGACGUCAAAUCAUCAUGCCCCUUAUGACCUGGGCUACACACGUGCUACAAUGGAGGGUACAACGAGUUGCGAAGUCGUGAGGCUAAGCUAAUCUCUUAAAGCUCUUCUCAGUUCGGAUUGUAGGUUGCAACUCGCCUACAUGAAGCCGGGAUCGCUAGUAAUCGCGGAUCAGCACGCCGCGGUGAAUACGUUCCCGGGUCUUGUACACACC
This 430-nucleotide ribosomal RNA is filed under the name uncultured bacterium. Its description in RNAcentral is "bacterial SSU rRNA". It matches the Rfam family "Bacterial small subunit ribosomal RNA", at positions 960 to 1391 of the family's 1533-position model. The record is from RNAcentral.